ACGAACGCUGGCGGCAUGCCUAACACAUGCAAGUCGAACGGGCAGUAGCAAUACUGUCAGUGGCGGACGGGUGAGUAACGCGUGGGAACCUACCCCGAAGUUCGGAAUAACCGCGGGAAACUGCGGCUAAUACCGGAUGUGGCCUGAGGGCCAAAGGAGCAAUCCGCUUUGGGAGGGGCCCGCGUCCGAUUAGCUAGUUGGUAGGGUAACGGCCUACCAAGGCGACGAUCGGUAGCUGGUCUGAGAGGAUGAUCAGCCACACUGGAACUGAGAUACGGUCCAGACUCCUACGGGAGGCAGCAGUGGGGAAUAUUGGACAAUGGGGGAAACCCUGAUCCAGCAAUGCCGCGUGGGUGAUGAAGGCCUUCGGGUUGUAAAGCCCUUUUGGCGGGGACGAUGAUGACGGUACCCGCAGAAUAAGCCCCGGCUAACUUCGU
RNAcentral lists this ribosomal RNA (437 nucleotides) under uncultured bacterium. RNAcentral's name for it is "bacterial SSU rRNA". It matches the Rfam family "Bacterial small subunit ribosomal RNA", at positions 29 to 506 of the family's 1533-position model. The record is from RNAcentral.